This is a long non-coding RNA of Hypomesus transpacificus, 1215 nucleotides long. RefSeq lists it as uncharacterized. NCBI's taxonomy places the organism in Eukaryota, Metazoa, Chordata, Actinopteri, Osmeriformes, Osmeridae. The record is from RefSeq and is a predicted model, not a curated record. The transcript is spliced from 3 exons.
UCCCUCUCUGAAUUGCUCCUCCCAAGGUCUGGAGGGUCAUGCAGAGGCCUGUUCAACAGAGGAUGCUGAGUGUAACAGAGGAUGAUACCCCGCAGCCUUCACCCCUACUUGUUUGCCUACAGAGUGAACAGAUCCACAGGAGAUGCAGUGGCGACAGCACUCCAUGCCGCUCUGUCACAACUGGAGCGGCAGGGGAGCUAUGUGCGGAUGCUCUUUGUGGAUUACAGCUCUUUAUUCAAGGCAAUCCUCCCACAAAAGCUGGUGGUCAAGCAGCGGGACCUCGGGCUCCCUUUUACCACAUGCAGGUGGAUCAGCAGCUUCUUCUCUGGCCGCAGACAGAGAGUCAUAGUGGGCCAUCACACAUCCACGGCCUUUAGCCCCAGCACUAGCUUCCCCCAGGGCUGUGUGCUCAGUCCCCUGCUCUACUCCCUCUACACACACGACUGCACCCAUGUUCAUCACAGUACCACCAUUGUGAAGUUUGCCGAUGACACCACAGUGGCGCGGCUCAUCUCUGGGGGGGAGCAUGGCCAACAACCUUCUCCUUAACACUGCAAAGACAAAAUAACUCAUAAUAGACUACAGGAGAAAGAAGACUGAGAUCACACCAUUGACCAUCAGCCGGAUCAGUGUGGAGAGGGUGGCAGACUUUCGCUUCCUGGGGGUCCACAUACAGGACAGCCUAUUCUGGCGUGUGAACACCUCUGAGCUGUUGAAAAAGGCCCCGCAGAGACGGUACUUCCUGAAAACCCUCAGGAGGAGUAACAUCACACAAAGACUGCUGGGGGUCCUUCUACCGAGCCUCCAUUGAAAGUAUACUGACAUACUGCAUAAGCAUUUGGUAUACCAGCUGUACAGUGGCUUAGACAAAAAUGCUCCAGAGGGUCAUCAACACCGCUCAAAAGAUUGUUGGCUGCCCUCUCCCCGCACUGGGAGACCUACACAGAUCCCGUUGUCUCAAAAGAGCCCAGAACAUCAUAAGAUAUUUCACAUCCUGGGCACUCCCUGUUUGAAAUGUUGCCGUCAGGCAGACGGUACAGAUCAAUCAAGGCCAAUGAAUGUUGCACUGACUGGAAGCACUUAAAUUCCGUUGUACCUGUGACAAUGACAAAUAAAGAUAUAUCAGGAUGCAACACAGGAUGCUGUGAGCAACACAGACCCCUUGCUGGACUACCCCUCUCUAGCUGCCAGCCUUCCAGAGACAGACAGUACAAU